CGAAGGGUGCAAGCGUUGUUCGGAAUUACUGGGCGUAAAGCGCGCGUAGGCGGCUUGAUAAGUUGGGAGUGAAAUCCCGGGGCUUAACUCCGGAAUUGCUUUCAAAACUGUCAAGCUGGAGUAUGGUAGGGGACAGUGGAAUUCCUAGUGUAGAGGUGAAAUUCGUAGAUAAUAGGAGGAACACCGGUGGCGAAAGCGACUGUCUGGACCAUUACUGACGCUGAGGCGCGAAAGCGUGGGGAGCAAACAGGAUUAGAUACCCUGGUAGUCCACACCGUAAACGAUGGGUGCUAGAUAUUGGGGCUUAAGCCUCAGUGUCGUAGCUAACGCGUUAAGCACCCCGCCUGGGGAGUACGGUCGCAAGAUUA
RNAcentral lists this ribosomal RNA (368 nucleotides) under uncultured organism. RNAcentral's name for it is "bacterial SSU rRNA". It matches the Rfam family "Bacterial small subunit ribosomal RNA", at positions 526 to 896 of the family's 1533-position model. The record is from RNAcentral.